AUGGACUGCCAAUGCAAAGUGGAAACUCUCAUUGUAUCACUGUGGUUCACCUUUGGUGGAGGCACCAAACUCAUCAUUAAAACUGGUCCCACAGUGAAGCCCUCCGUGUCUCUGCUCCCUCCGUCUCCUCUGCAGUUGUCUGAGGGAUCGGCCUCGCUGCUCUGCCUGCUGUCUGGCUACUCUCCACAGGGGGCGCUGGUGAGCUGGACAGUGGACGGCUCAGAGGUGAAGGACGGGGUUCUGACCAGCGCAGAAGAACUGAAGAACGGCCGUUACAGUCGCAGCAGCACCCUUACCCUCAGCAGAGACCUCUGGGAAAAGGGGGAGGAGUUUACCUGUACGGUCUCCCAUGACAACAUCAAUCAUCCAGUCACGUUCAGAAAGAGUCAGUGUGAAGGCUAGUGGCUCCAAGAGAGAGUUUAACAUAGAGCUGCUUAUGACCCAUCUACAAUAGAGUUUAAAUUCUACACAAUGCUGCCAUUUCUGUCUUUACUCUGUUCACUGUCCUGUUGCUCUUCCUGUAGUUUUUGCUGAAAUAAAGCUGAAUUGUUGAGUUAAUAGUGAUGAUCAGUGUGAUGAGAGAGUGUGUUUAUCUGUAGAUUCAGUGCUCUGUGUUGUGCUUCAGUGAGUUUGACUGAAGGAAGUUCAGAGGGAGAAAUGAAACUACUCGGUCCUGUUAAUGCAAAUAUCACAUCUGCAAAUACGCCUCAUUGCUCUCUCUCUCUUUCUGUGUCUGAAAACUAACAAUGAAGAUUGUUCAAGAUUAAAUACCAAACUGUC
Non-coding RNA from Pangasianodon hypophthalmus (striped catfish), 780 nucleotides. NCBI's taxonomy places the organism in Eukaryota, Metazoa, Chordata, Actinopteri, Siluriformes, Pangasiidae. The record is from the annotation of a RefSeq genome assembly.